GAUGAAGAACGCAGCGAAAUGCGAAAAGUAAUGUGAAUUGCAGAAUUCAGUGAACCAUCGAAUCUUUGAACGCACAUUGCGCCCGCUGGAACUCCGGCGGGCACGCCUGUCCGAGCGUCAUUUCAACCCUCAGGCCCCCCUUCGCGGGCGGGCCUGGUGUUGGGGCCCGGCCGCUACCCUGCGGCCGUCCCCUAAAUUCAGUGGCGGCCUCGCCGUGAUCCCUUGCGUAGUAAUGCACCUCGCACCGGAGAGCGCCGUGGCCACGCCGUAAAACCCCAAAUUUUCUAUGGUUGACCUCGGAUCAGGUGGGAAUACCCGCUGAACUUAAGCAUAUCAAUAAGCGGAGGA
Molecule: unclassified non-coding RNA, 348 nt
Filed under: soil metagenome
Description: partial contains 5.8S ribosomal RNA, internal transcribed spacer 2, and large subunit ribosomal RNA
Rfam family: 5.8S ribosomal RNA (bases 1-120)
Source: RNAcentral